This 468-nucleotide ribosomal RNA is filed under the name uncultured bacterium. RNAcentral's name for it is "partial 16S ribosomal RNA". It matches the Rfam family "Bacterial small subunit ribosomal RNA", at positions 28 to 507 of the family's 1533-position model. The record is from RNAcentral.
GACGAACGCUGGCGGCGUGCUUAACACAUGCAAGUCGAACGGAAAGGCCCUGCUUUUGUGGGGUGCUCGAGUGGCGAACGGGUGAGUAACACGUGAGUAACCUGCCCUUGACUUUGGGAUAACUUCAGGAAACUGGGGCUAAUACCGGAUUGGAGCUCCUGCUGCAUGGUGGGGGUUGGAAAGUUUCGGCGGUUGGGGAUGGACUCGCGGCUUAUCAGCUUGUUGGUGGGGUAGUGGCUUACCAAGGCUUUGACGGGUAGCCGGCCGGAGAGGGUGACCGGCCACAUUGGGACUGAGAUACGGCCCAGACUACUACGGGAGACAGCAGUGGGGAAUAUUGCACAAUGGGCGGAAGCCUGAUGAAGCAACGCCGCGUGCGGGAUGACGGCCUUCGGGUUGUAAACCGCUUUCGCCUGUGACGAAGCGUGAGGGACGGUAAUGGGUAAAGAAGCACCGGCUAAAUACGUG